This 253-nucleotide ribosomal RNA is filed under the name uncultured bacterium. Its description in RNAcentral is "partial 16S ribosomal RNA". It matches the Rfam family "Bacterial small subunit ribosomal RNA", at positions 524 to 776 of the family's 1533-position model. The record is from RNAcentral.
UACGGGGGGGGCAAGCGUUGUUCGGAAUUACUGGGCGUAAAGGGCUCGUAGGCGGCCAACUAAGUCGGACGUGAAAUCCCUCGGCUUAACCGGGGAACUGCGUCCGAUACUGGAUGGCUUGAGAUUGGGAGAGGGAUGCGGAAUUCCAGGUGUAGCGGUGAAAUGCGCAGAUAUCAGGAAGAACACCCGUGGCGAAGGCGGUUCUCUGGGACGGUACUGACGCUGAGACGCGAAAGCGUGGGGAGCAAACAGA